Molecule: non-coding RNA, 29 nt
Filed under: Cricetulus griseus (Chinese hamster)
Lineage: Eukaryota; Metazoa; Chordata; Mammalia; Rodentia; Cricetidae
Source: RNAcentral
UUUCUGCAGGUAAUGGAAAGAGGGGCACA